CUUUUUCUCUGUGCAUCCUCAGUGACGCGGGGCACAGCUCUGCCCGGGGGCCUACCAGAGCCCACCUGGACCCCACACUGGGUCAGCCCUGGUGCGGAGGAGGCCGCUGUAGGCGCGGCCAGGUCACAGUCGGCACCAGAAGUUUGGCAGAUCUCAGUGAGGCGUUAGUUUGCAUUUCCUUGUGACGGGGUUGUAGAAGAAGGUUAACAAGGUACCACAAACCGGAUGGCUCAAAACAGCGGAUACUGUCUCACGGUUCUGGAGACCUGAAGUCUGAAACAAAGUGGUGAUGGGGUCGGUUCCCUCCGGAGGCUCUGAGGGGGAUGCAGUGGCUCUGAGGGGGCUGUGGGGGCUCUGAGGGGAGACUGGGGGUGGCUCUGAGGGGGAUGCGUUUCCUGCCUCUCUCCGCCAUGCUGGGGCUCGCUGCAUCUUCGUGCUCCUCUGCUUGUGGAUGCGUCACUCUGGCUCCGUUCUUCUUCACGCGGCAUCCGUCUCCCUGUGUUCUCUGCUUUAUAACGGCACCUGUCAUUGGAUGCAGGGACCGCUCUAAUCCACCAUGAUUCUAUCUGGAGAACCUAAACUUAAUUACAUCAGUAAAGACCCUUUCUCCAUGAGGUCCCACUCGCAGGUUCUCGGGGGACAUGUCUUUUGGGGCCACCAUUCCCCCAGCUCCGAUGCUCCUUUAAGCUCAUUAAGCUUCAUAGAGGGGAUUCAGGUGGGGGUGCCCUCGGUCUCACUCAGUGGGUGUCAGGGGGCGUAUCGCCUGCAGGCCGGCCCUUCUGCCCUCUCAGAGGCAGCCACAGCUCAGGUCAGGCUGGAGGGUGGGGUGGAC
RNAcentral lists this long non-coding RNA (832 nucleotides) under Homo sapiens (human). RNAcentral describes it as "HSALNT0309898". Lineage: Eukaryota; Metazoa; Chordata; Mammalia; Primates; Hominidae. The record is from RNAcentral.